RNAcentral lists this ribosomal RNA (610 nucleotides) under Uncinaria stenocephala. Its description in RNAcentral is "SSU rRNA". It matches the Rfam family "Eukaryotic small subunit ribosomal RNA", at positions 1014 to 1653 of the family's 1831-position model. The record is from RNAcentral. Lineage: Eukaryota; Metazoa; Nematoda; Chromadorea; Rhabditida; Ancylostomatidae.
ACCGCCCUAGUUCUGACCGUAAACUAUGCCAUCUAGCGAUCCGAUGGGGUAUUGUUGCCUUGUCGAGGAGCUUCCCGGAAACGAAAGUCUUUCGGUUCCUGGGGUAGUAUGGUUGCAAAGCUGAAACUUAAAGAAAUUGACGGAAUGGCACCACCAGGAGUGGAGCCUGCGGCUUAAUUUGACUCAACACGGGAAAACUCACCCGGCCCGGACACCGUAAGGAUUGACAGAUUGAAAGCUCUUUCUCGAUUUGGUGGUUGGUGGUGCAUGGCCGUUCUUAGUUGGUGGAGCGAUUUGUCUGGUUUAUUCCGAUAACGAGCGAGACUCUAGCCUGCUAAAUAGUGGCUGGAUUUUCACGUCCAGUCUACUUCUUAGAGGGAUAAGCGGUGUUUAGCCGCACGAGAUUGAGCGAUAACAGGUCUGUGAUGCCCUUAGAUGUCCGGGGCUGCACGCGCGCUACAAUGGAAGAAUCAGCUGGCCUAUCCAUUGCCGAAAGGCAUUGGUAAACCGUUGAAACUCUUCCGUGACCGGGAUAGGGAAUUGUAAUUAUUUCCCUUGAACGAGGAAUUCCUAGUAAGUGUGAGUCAUCAGCUCACGCUGAUUACGUCCC